This 498-nucleotide ribosomal RNA is filed under the name uncultured Glomus. RNAcentral describes it as "SSU rRNA". It matches the Rfam family "Eukaryotic small subunit ribosomal RNA", at positions 591 to 1092 of the family's 1831-position model. The record is from RNAcentral. RNAcentral also lists the same sequence under 1 other name. Lineage: Eukaryota; Fungi; Glomeromycota; Glomeromycetes; Glomerales; Glomeraceae.
CCAAUAGCGUAUAUUAAAGUUGUUGCAGUUAAAAAGCUCGUAGUUGAAUUUCGGGACUAAUAUGUCGGUCGUGCCUCGGUACGUACUGGUUUAUUGGUUUCUCCUUUCUGAAGAACCAUGAUGUCAUUUAUUUGGUGUCGUGGGGAAUCAGGACUGUUACUUUGAAAAAAUUAGAGUGUUUAAAGCAGGCUUUAGCUUGAAUACAUUAGCAUGGAAUAAUGAAAUAGGACGUUCGAACCUAUUUUGUUGGUUUCUAGGAUCAACGUAAUGAUUAAUAGGGAUAGUUGGGGGCAUUAGUAUUCAAUUGUCAGAGGUGAAAUUCUUGGAUUUAUUGAAGACUAACUACUGCGAAAGCAUUUGCCAAGGAUGUUUUCAUUAAUCAAGAACGAAAGUUAGGGGAUCGAAGACGAUCAGAUACCGUCGUAGUCUUAACCAUAAACUAUGCCGACUAGGGAUCGGAUGAUGUUAAUUUUUUAAUGACUCAUUCGGCGCCUUACG